This 468-nucleotide ribosomal RNA is filed under the name uncultured bacterium. Its description in RNAcentral is "partial 16S ribosomal RNA". It matches the Rfam family "Bacterial small subunit ribosomal RNA", at positions 28 to 507 of the family's 1533-position model. The record is from RNAcentral.
GACGAACGCUGGCGGCGUGCUUAACACAUGCAAGUCGAACGGAAAGGCCCUGCUUUUGUGGGGUGCUCGAGUGGCGAACGGGUGAGUAACACGUGAGUAACCUGCCCUUGACUUUGGGAUAACUUCAGGAAACUGGGGCUAAUACCGGAUAGGAGCUCCUGCUGCAUGGUGGGGGUUGGAAAGUUUCGGCGGUUGGGGAUGGACUCGCGGCUUAUCAGCUUGUUGGUGGGGUAGUGGCUUACCAAGGCUUUGACGGGUAGCCGGCCUGAGAGGGUGACCGGCCACAUUGGGACUGGGAUACGGCCCAGACUCCUACGGGAGGCAGCAGUGGGGGAUAUUGCACAAUGGGCGGAAGCCUGAUGCAGCAACGCCGCGUGCGGGAAGACGGCCUUCGGGUUGUAAACCGCUUUCGCCUGUGACGAAGCGUGAGUGACGGUAAUGGGUAAAGAAGCACCGGCUAACUACGUG